GACGAACGCUGGCGGCGUGCUUAACACAUGCAAGUCGAACGGAAAGGCCCUGCUUGCAGGGUGCUCGAGUGGCGAACGGGUGAGUAACACGUGGGUGAUCUGCCCCUUACUUUGGGAUAAGCCUGGGAAACUGGGUCUAAUACUGGAUAGGACCAUGCUGUAGGUGGUGUGGUGGAAAGAUUAGUUUCGGUAAGGGAUGAGCUCGCGGCCUAUCAGCUUGUUGGUGGGGUAAUGGCCUACCAAGGCGUCGACGCGUAGCCGGCCUGAGAGGGUGGACGGCCACAUUGGGACUGAGAUACGGCCCAGACUCCUACGGGAGGCAGCAGUGGUGAAGAUUGCACAAUGGGCGCAAGCCGGAUGCAGCGACGCCGCGGGGGGGAUGACGGCCUUCGGGUUGUAAACUCCUUUCAGCCAUGACGAAGCCCUUGUGGUGACGGUAGUGGUAGAAGAAGCACCGGCUAACUACGUG
This 469-nucleotide ribosomal RNA is filed under the name uncultured bacterium. RNAcentral describes it as "partial 16S ribosomal RNA". It matches the Rfam family "Bacterial small subunit ribosomal RNA", at positions 28 to 507 of the family's 1533-position model. The record is from RNAcentral.